AUUGAACGCUGGCGGCAUGCCUUACACAUGCAAGUCGAACGGCAGCGGGCCUUCGGGUGCCGGCGAGUGGCGAACGGGUGAGUAAUGCAUCGGAACGUGCCAUUGAGUGGGGGAUAACGUAGCGAAAGUUGCGCUAAUACCGCAUAUUCUGUGAGCAGGAAAGCAGGGGACCGCAAGGCCUUGCGCUCUUUGAGCGGCCGAUGUCAGAUUAGCUAGUUGGUGAGGUAAAGGCUUACCAAGGCGACGAUCUGUAGCGGGUCUGAGAGGAUGAUCCGCCACACUGGAACUGAGACACGGUCCAGACUCCUACGGGAGGCAGCAGUGGGGAAUUUUGGACAAUGGGGGCAACCCUGAUCCAGCCAUGCCGCGUGAGUGAAGAAGGCCU
Molecule: ribosomal RNA, 385 nt
Filed under: uncultured bacterium
Lineage: Bacteria
Description: bacterial SSU rRNA
Rfam family: Bacterial small subunit ribosomal RNA
Source: RNAcentral